GAUGAACGCUAGCGGCAGGCCUAACACAUGCAAGUCGAGGGGUAACAGGGAGCUUGCUCCGCUGACGACCGGCGCACGGGUGCGUAACGCGUAUACAAUCUACCUUUUGCUACGGGAUAGCCCAGAGAAAUUUGGAUUAAUACCGCAUAGUAUAUUGAGAUCGCAUGGUUUUAAUAUUAAAGGUUACGGCAGAAGAUGAGUAUGCGUUCUAUUAGCUAGAUGGUGUGGUAACGGCAUACCAUGGCAACGAUAGAUAGGGGCCCUGAGAGGGGGAUCCCCCACACUGGUACUGAGACACGGACCAGACUCCUACGGGAGGCAGCAGUGAGGAAUAUUGGACAAUGGGCGAGAGCCUGAUCCAGCCAUGCCGCGUGCAGGAAGACGGCCCUAUGGGUUGUAAACUGCUUUUAUACAGGAAGAAACACCUCUACGAGUAGAGGCUUGACGGUAC
Molecule: ribosomal RNA, 451 nt
Filed under: uncultured Flavobacteriaceae bacterium
Lineage: Bacteria; Pseudomonadati; Bacteroidota; Flavobacteriia; Flavobacteriales; Flavobacteriaceae
Description: bacterial SSU rRNA
Rfam family: Bacterial small subunit ribosomal RNA
Source: RNAcentral